Molecule: long non-coding RNA, 1306 nt
Organism: Poecile atricapillus (Black-capped chickadee)
Lineage: Eukaryota; Metazoa; Chordata; Aves; Passeriformes; Paridae
Exons: 3
Source: RefSeq, a predicted model, not a curated record
AAUGGCACAAGGCCCAAAAAAUAAUGAGCAAAAGAUGAAAGCUAAAACAAAUUUGAGCUGUAAGACUAUUUGCAAUCAUUGUGGUAAAUCUGGAUACUACACUAAACAAUGCAAACAGAAAGCUGUUGCAGGGAAACUGGAAGAAGAGCACAAAGCAGUGUGGGGGGACAACAACCACAAGCUCUCCCAGCACUGAAAAGCUGUCAAUUUGUGGACAAUAUUCAGGGGCCAUAAGGGGCUCCACAGAGGUAAAUACAUAGAUAUACCCACCGUGUACACAGUAGGUAUUGCAAUAAAACAAAUAUGCAAAGUUCCUCAUGAUGCCUAUAGUCCCAUAGGACGCAGGCUGAGUGCUUUUUUGAUAGGGAGAUCAAGCAGUAUUAUUAAAGGUAUUUAUGUACUUUUAGGGAUUAUUGAUGCUGAUUACCUGGGACAAAUUCAUGCUAUUUUAUCUGUUAGUGAACCCCCUGUUAUCAUUCCGAAAGGUACUUGCAUUGCUCAACUUGUUCCCUUUGUGAGUUGUAUUCCAAAUACAGUGAACCGGAGUGGUGGCACUGGAGGUUUUAGAUCUACAAGAGCACCUCGAGUAUUUUGGACUCAGAAAGUGCCAGAGAAAUGUCUGGAAAGAACAUGUGUCAUCACAGCCAAGGGACAUCAUGCAGAGACUAUAACAAUAACAGGAGCUCCAUCACACAUAAAGACAGAUAAUGGCCCAGCCUAUGCUUCUCAAAAACUGCAAAUGGUUUUCUGUGCUUGGGGCAUUGAUCAUUCUACAGGGCCCUGCAGAAAUCCUUGGCAGCUGUGUUUGCUGCUCAAAUACAAAGAAAACGGGGAACUGUGGCUGAGAUGGGUCAGAUGAAAGAGUUAACAGAAAGAAGACAGCAGGAUUCUUGUGUGUCCAUGGGAAGAAGAAAAAGAAGAUAAAGGUAGAGGAAAACAAAGAACAUCAGUGUUGAGAAAAACACCAUGGAAAAACAAGAUCCAUCUCUAUUUUGGAUUUUUGGGGAUACUUUCUCAAAACAGUGCUUCCACCAGUGGACUUGAGGGGUGGUGUGGUGAUGGCAAAUUAAAUGGGGUGCACUAUAAGGCCAGAAGGCUAUAAAAAUGCUGUGUACAGGCACAAUAAAAUCUUGGAUGAAGUUUCUUACGGAUCUGCUUUGUGUCGCGUCUGCUCCCACAGCAACACUGGUCUCUGUAUGAAUUAGGUAUUUUCAGAAGUUCAGAAUAUACAGUGGAAAUUUAGGAUUAUUCAGAUGCAGUUUGAAAGUGAUAAUGGUUUUGAUCUGCAUCUAUGGUGGUAUGUAAA